This is a long non-coding RNA of Gambusia affinis (western mosquitofish), 410 nucleotides long. RefSeq lists it as uncharacterized. NCBI's taxonomy places the organism in Eukaryota, Metazoa, Chordata, Actinopteri, Cyprinodontiformes, Poeciliidae. The transcript is spliced from 2 exons. The record is from RefSeq and is a predicted model, not a curated record.
GAUGCUGGAGUUUUUUGCACUCGUAGGGAGCUGUUUUUUCCACCAGGGGGAGCCACGAGACAGCAUCUACAGGAGGGCGUUUCCACGCACCUGUGCGUUAUCAGCCCCAUCUGCAACAGCUUAAGAGGAGCGGCUGACCGUUUCUCCGGGCCGGAGUGUUUUACCUGUUUGAAAUCCCCUCGUGGAGCUUGAUCGACGACGGCCCGACUGUCUGCCCGCCCUCCGACGCGCCUCCCUUGGCACCGGCCGAGGCUUUUAGCCAUCAGGACCCAGACUCCAGCGUCCAACCUUUUCCCUCCCUGUCUGGCUGACCUCAUCUCAUUCAUCCUCAGAUCGCUGGCGUUCCGGAUCCAGUAGGAUAAGAAACAACUCAUUUUCGAUCUGUUCAACAAUAAAACUUAUUAAUCUGA